AACGAACGCUGGCGGCAUGCCUAACACAUGCAAGUCGAACGAGACCUUCGGGUCUAGUGGCGCACGGGUGCGUAACGCGUGGGAACCUGCCUUUAGGUUCGGAAUAACUCAGAGAAAUUUGAGCUAAUACCGGAUGAUGUCUUCGGACCAAAGAUUUAUCGCCUUUAGAUGGGCCCGCGUUGGAUUAGCUAGUUGGUGGGGUAAAGGCCUACCAAGGCGACGAUCCAUAGCUGGUCUGAGAGGAUGAUCAGCCACACUGGGACUGAGACACGGCCCAGACUCCUUCGGGAGGCAGCAGUGGGGAAUAUUGGACAAUGGGCGAAAGCCUGAUCCAGCAAUGCCGCGUGAGUGAUGAAGGCCUUAGGGUUGUAAAGCUCUUUUACCCGAGAUGAUAAUGACAGUAUCGGGAGAAUAAGCUCCGGCUAACUCCGUG
Molecule: ribosomal RNA, 433 nt
Filed under: uncultured bacterium
Lineage: Bacteria
Description: partial 16S ribosomal RNA
Rfam family: Bacterial small subunit ribosomal RNA
Source: RNAcentral